GCCAUGUUGGUGUGCUGCAUGCCUGUAGUCCCAGCUACUAGGGAGGCUGAGGCUGGAGGAUCGCUUGAGUCCAGGAGUUCUGGGCUGUAGUGCGCUAUGCCGAUCGGGUGUCCGCACUAAGUUCGACAUCAAUAUGGUGACCUCCCGGGAGCGGGGGACCACCAGGUUGCCUAAGGAGGGGUGAACCGGCCCAGGUCGGAAACGGAGCAGGUCAAAACUCCCGUGAUCUCUACAGAAUAUUUUAUAAAAUUGCCACUUAAUUUGAAUGUCACUGCUAUCAU
This 281-nucleotide signal recognition particle RNA is filed under the name Piliocolobus tephrosceles (Ugandan red Colobus). Its description in RNAcentral is "Metazoan signal recognition particle RNA (ENSPTEG00000008641.1)". It matches the Rfam family "Metazoan signal recognition particle RNA". Rfam says of the family: The signal recognition particle (SRP) is a universally conserved ribonucleoprotein. It is involved in the co-translational targeting of proteins to membranes. The eukaryotic SRP consists of a 300-nucleotide 7S RNA and six proteins: SRPs 72, 68, 54, 19, 14, and 9. Lineage: Eukaryota; Metazoa; Chordata; Mammalia; Primates; Cercopithecidae. The record is from Rfam by way of RNAcentral.